Molecule: ribosomal RNA, 405 nt
Filed under: uncultured bacterium
Lineage: Bacteria
Description: partial 16S ribosomal RNA
Rfam family: Bacterial small subunit ribosomal RNA
Source: RNAcentral
AUUGAACGCUAGCGGGAUGCUUUACACAUGCAAGUCGAACGAGUGGCGGACGGGUGAGUAAUAUAUCGGAACGUGCCCAGUAGCGGGGGAUAACUACUCGAAAGAGUGGCUAAUACCGCAUACGAUUGGAUCUGCCCAUAUCGGAUUAGCUAGUUGGUGGGGUAAAGGCUCACCAAGGCGACGAUCCGUAGCUGGUUUGAGAGGAUGACCAGCCACACUGGAACUGAGACACGGCCCAGAUUCCUACGGGAGGCAGCAGUGGGGAAUUUUGGACAAUGGGGGAAACCCUGAUCCAGCCAUCCCGCGUGUAUGAGAAGGCCUUCGGGUUGUAAAGUACUUUUGGCAGAGAAGCGGUACCUGCAGAAUAAGCACCGGCUAACUACGUGCCAGCAGCCGCGGUAAUAC